AGAGUUUGAUCAUGGCUCAGGACGAACGCUGGCGGCGUGCUUAACACAUGCAAGUCGAACGGAAAGGCCCCUUCGGGGGUGCUCGAGUGGCGAACGGGUGAGUAACACGUGGGUGAUCUGCUGCACUUCGGGAUAAGCUUGGGAAACUGGGUCUAAUACCGGAUAGGACCAUGGCCUGCAUGGGUUGUGGUGGAAAGCUU
This 200-nucleotide ribosomal RNA is filed under the name uncultured bacterium. RNAcentral describes it as "partial 16S ribosomal RNA". It matches the Rfam family "Bacterial small subunit ribosomal RNA", at positions 8 to 210 of the family's 1533-position model. The record is from RNAcentral.